UACGUAGGGUGCGAGCGUUGUCCGGAAUUAUUGGGCGUAAAGAGCUCGUAGGCGGUUUGUUGCGUCGGCCGUGAAAACCUGCAGCUUAACUGUGGGCCUGCGGUCGAUACGGGCAGACUUGAGUUCGGUAGGGGAGACUGGAAUUCCUGGUGUAGCGGUGAAAUGCGCAGAUAUCAGGAGGAACACCGAUGGCGAAGGCAGGUCUCUGGGCCACUACUGACGCUGAGAAGCGAAAGCAUGGGGAGCGAACAGG
This 253-nucleotide ribosomal RNA is filed under the name uncultured bacterium. RNAcentral's name for it is "partial 16S ribosomal RNA". It matches the Rfam family "Bacterial small subunit ribosomal RNA", at positions 524 to 776 of the family's 1533-position model. The record is from RNAcentral.